This is a long non-coding RNA of Amblyraja radiata (thorny skate), 229 nucleotides long. RefSeq lists it as uncharacterized. The record is from RefSeq and is a predicted model, not a curated record. Lineage: Eukaryota; Metazoa; Chordata; Chondrichthyes; Rajiformes; Rajidae. The transcript is spliced from 3 exons.
CCGAGUCUGUACUGGCUAGCGAUCCCCGCACAUUAACUCUAUCCUACACACAUAGACAUGAAACAUAAAGUUUAUUUUUUUGAACGUUUAUAAAAGAUGCAGACCCCAUCGCUAAUUGUGACAAUGGAGGAGGCCCAGGUCGGGAAGGUCAGCAUGGGGAAGGGGAGUGGUUAGCGACCGGGAGACCCAGCAGGUCUUGCCGGACCGAGCACAAGUGAAGGGUGAAAUG